This 935-nucleotide ribosomal RNA is filed under the name Meliola telosmae. RNAcentral's name for it is "partial 28S ribosomal RNA". It matches the Rfam family "Eukaryotic large subunit ribosomal RNA", at positions 1 to 937 of the family's 3401-position model. The record is from RNAcentral. Lineage: Eukaryota; Fungi; Ascomycota; Sordariomycetes; Meliolales; Meliolaceae.
UCGACCUCGGAUCAGGUAGGAAUACCCGCUGAACUUAAGCAUAUCAAUAAGCGGAGGAAAAGAAACCAACAGGGAUUGCCUCAGUAACGGCGAGUGAAGCGGCAACAGCCCAGAUUUGAAAUCCGGUUCUUUCAGUAAGAAUCUGAGUUGUAAUCUGUAGAGGAUGUCGCUGGCUACUAGUAUCUCCGAAGUCCCCCUGGAACGGGGCGCCGCAGAGGGUGAGAGUCCCGUGCGGGGAUAGCUAGAUAGUCAAUGUGCGACUCCUUCGGCGAGUCGAGUAGUUUGGGAAUGCUGCUCUAAAUGGGAGGUAAAUUCCUUCUAAGGCUAAAUAUCGGCCGGAGACCGAUAGCGCACAAGUAGAGUGAUCGAAAGAUGAAAAGCACUUUGAAAAGAGGGUUAAACAGUACGUGAAAUUGUUGAAAGGGAAGCGCCCGCGACCAGACUUGUCUGCAGUCAAUCGCCCCACGCUUGUCGUGGGGUCUCUUGGCUGCGGUUUACAGGCCAGCAUCGAUUCUCGCUAGGGGAGAAGCGCAGUGGGAAUGUAGCUCCUUUCGGGGAGUGUUAUAGCCCGCUGCUUGACACCCUGGCUGGGGAUCGAGGCCCGCGUUCCGACAAGGAUGCUGGCGUAAUGGUCGCUGGCGACCCGUCUUGAAACACGGACCAAGGAGUCGAGGUUUUCCGCGAGUGUGUGGGUGAUAAACUCGCGCGCGGAAUGAAAGUGAACGUAGGUGAGAGUCUUCUCAGGGAGAUGCAUCACCGACCGAUCCCAAUGUUUUUACGGAGGGUAUCGAGUAUGAGCGGGGAGCCUCGGACCCGAAAGAUGACGAACUAUGCCUGCAUAGAAUGAAGCCAGAGGAAACUCUGGUGGAGGUUCGCAGCGGUUCUGACGUGCAAAUCGAUCGUCAAAUGUGGGCAUGGGGGCGAAAGACUAAUCG